GAUGAACGCUAGCGGCAGGCUUAACACAUGCAAGUCGAACGGUAACAGGGAGAGCUUGCUCUCCGCUGACGAGUGGCGCACGGGUGCGUAACGCGUAUACAAUCUGCCCUUUACUGGAGAAUAGCCCCGGGAAACCGGGAUUAAUACUCCAUAGUAUCACGAAAUGGCAUCAUUUUGUGAUUAAAACUCCGGUGGUAAAGGAUGAGUAUGCGUCCUAUUAGUUUGUUGGUGAGGUAACGGCUCACCAAGGCUACGAUAGGUAGGGGGUCUGAGAGGAUGAUCCCCCACACUGGUACUGAGACACGGACCAG
This 311-nucleotide ribosomal RNA is filed under the name uncultured bacterium. Its description in RNAcentral is "bacterial SSU rRNA". It matches the Rfam family "Bacterial small subunit ribosomal RNA", at positions 28 to 334 of the family's 1533-position model. The record is from RNAcentral.